CAGAGUCUUCGAUGCUUCAUCCAUCUGCAGGCCAGGAGAUUCCUCAAAAGCAGUUCAAGACAGUCUUCCUGAGGAGAGCUAGCUGCUGCGCAGUGCAAUCACACUCUCUUCURUUGAGUGAACGACAGAUACAUAUGCAACUUUAUAAUAAAGGAACUARAGAGAAUGUUGCACCUGGGAUUCACAGAGGAAUCUGCCAGCUCAGACUGUUUGGCAGAGUUACCUGUGUGUGGCUCCUCUCGGACUUUCUCCAGGGCCCUUUCUGCUGAAACAGAGCUGAAGAAGUUCAGGAUGAGGCAGAAUCUUUUUCAGGUCACUU
RNAcentral lists this long non-coding RNA (319 nucleotides) under Dromaius novaehollandiae (emu). Its description in RNAcentral is "lncRNA (ENSDNVG00000013715.1)". The record is from RNAcentral. Lineage: Eukaryota; Metazoa; Chordata; Aves; Casuariiformes; Dromaiidae.